Molecule: long non-coding RNA, 1602 nt
Organism: Oryzias melastigma (Indian medaka)
Lineage: Eukaryota; Metazoa; Chordata; Actinopteri; Beloniformes; Adrianichthyidae
Exons: 2
Source: RefSeq, a predicted model, not a curated record
GCGAGAUGAGACAAAGCAGCACCGCAGGUCUUUAUGUGGGACAAAAAGCAAAUUUUCAGGUGAGUGUGCGGAUGCGAGCGCGACACACUUCUUUCAUGUGCAGACUGACGGGCCGUACCAUCAGCGAGAGCCUAUGCGGUGAGGUGGCCAUGAUGGAUGGCUGCAUGAAAAGAGCGAGAUCCCAUCUGGGUCAGAUCUUAUCAGGAUGACUGAUUCGCAUUGAUGAAAUCACGCCGGCUUGUUAACCUGGCCAGCGGAAGAAAGUAAAACAGCGCAAAAGAAGGCAAAAUCAGAAAAGCCAAGGGACCAUAUGAAGAACAGAAAAGGUCAGGGGAAUAAUGAACAGUGGGGGGCAGCAUGAGAAAUUUCGGUGAUUAAUCGUGACGUUGAGUUGGCAGGGGAUGGAUUGAGAUAAUAGGAGCUGACUGGAGAGAAGAAACAAAUGGAAAUGAGGAAGAUUGAAACAUCCAGACGAUAAAACGGAGCUAAAAAGCUGAAAGAGUUUCAUCCUUUGUCUGACAGAGAGAAUGAUGGGAAAUGUACUCAUCUAGUUCAUUAGCAUGUGUCUGGUGCUUGUAACUGUUGUGUCUCCAACAGUCUUCAAAACCCUCAACACGAGAUAGAAAUGACACCUUUUUUUGCUGCGUAACCACAGCACAGGAAAUUGGCAAGGAUCUUCUCUCAACUCUCUUCCAACAGUCCUGCAAAGACAAUCUAGACACCCAAACCCGCCUCUCCUCACUACGCAUAUUCGAGUCUUAGGGUUUAGUCGAGGCGUGCUUGUGCAAAGGUGGCUGAGUGUGAGAAUCGGCAAGACGUUCUUAGCUAUUCAUUCCAUUGUGCUCCUGAUUGAUAUUGAGCUCUGAAAACGUCAGGAUUUAUUGGACCGAGCUGUUAUCAGAAACUUUUAUUCCACAGCCACAGAUACGAUGCUGGGAACGUCAGUCUCCUGAGGUUCAACUGAAAGCGCUCGUUUCAGGACUCUGAAGUCCACCUCAUCCAGAGGAGCAGCUCUGGGUGUUGUAGGCGAGGGCAAAUGUUGCAUCAAGCAGUCAUGUUUGCACAGCAGCUUUCCUUGGAGAGGCUGGAGCCAUCCGGUGGGAGUCACCUGUAUUAGUCAACGCUGGAAACCACUCUGAGGGCCACAAGAUCGAGCCCUUUUCUCCACGCCGCUUUGGUGGGCAGCAUCACAAAACACCGCGCUGAGCAGAGACUGCUACAAAUGGAGUGGACUCAUUUACACGAUGCCUAUUGGUUAACUCUACGGUAUCUGCAUGACUCCAAGACAGGCAAAUCAACCGGAGCAGAGAAGGUCUGAACCAGGAGAAACAGCUUUUGUUCAAUGACGCAAAGAUGGCUGCGGCGAGCUGCUUCGCUUCAAGGAAAGAAAUACAGUUUGAAACAUAAAGACAGAGGUUAGAAAGCUUAAUUGAUUACCUGUUAACUGUUAAUCAAUAAUUCUAAUGUGUCAUUCUGUGAUGGUAGGUAAUUUAGAAUAAAAAACUGAAACCAGAAGCUUUUUCCUCUCAGAUUUGGAAUUUAGUAAACAAGGAAGAAACAUGAAAAUUGGCAGGAAUUAAAAAAAAUAAAAAAGAAAAAAAA